This 253-nucleotide ribosomal RNA is filed under the name uncultured bacterium. RNAcentral describes it as "partial 16S ribosomal RNA". It matches the Rfam family "Bacterial small subunit ribosomal RNA", at positions 524 to 776 of the family's 1533-position model. The record is from RNAcentral.
GACAGAGGGUGCAAGCGUUAAUCGGAAUUAUUGGGCGUAAAGCGCACGCAGGCGGAUUAAUAAGUUGGAUGUGAAAGCCCUGGGCUUAACCUGGGAACUGCAUUCAAAACUGUUAGUCUAGAGUACAGUAGAGGGGAGUGGAAUUUCCGGUGUAGCGGUGAAAUGCGUAGAUAUCGGAAGGAACACCAGUGGCGAAGGCGACUCCCUGGAUUGAUACUGACGCUCAGGUGCGAAAGCGUGGGGAGCAAACAGG